CAGGACGGGACCCCGCCAGGCCUGCGAGGCCAGGCUGAGGAAGCUGAGCCAGUCCAGGACCUGGUAGAGGGGCAGAGCGAACAUAGGGCGGGGCUGAGGGGCAGGGCGGGGGCGGGACGUGGGCGGAGCAGGCUCUGGGAAUCACAAAGGAGGCGGGGCGAGAAACCCGGGUUAAGGAGAGCCCAGCGGUUGCGUCGCGCUGCGAGUAAGAUGCAUGCAAUCUCGAACACACGUCCGGACGUGCACUCGUUACUUUGAGAAGUGAAGAAAGGAGCGAGAUUGGAAUGUCGUUGUCCAUAACUGAACCUAUUCUUGGCGGGGAGAGGGAAAAGUGGGGGUGGGGAUAAAAGAAGUCUUGAGUUGGGAGAAAGGGUUAUCUCCAGAUGUGGAUGAGCAAAUGUCGCCUGCAGGAUUUGGUCUCCAACCUGAGGUCGCCCAAGAAAAUGAGUUUCCUGGGGGUCUUGAUUCCCCAGAAAUCAGAUUCGAGUGAUUAGAACAGAGACCCUCUUCUCACACCAGCGGAGGCCACGUCCUGGGAUGUGAAAUUGAGCUUGGCCAAUGGGAGGUUUUACGGCUUAAAUAACUGCUUUGGUCACAAAAGGGGGUGGGGGAGCAUUUCUAUUAGAAAAUUCUAAUUGUGCCUCAAGCUUGGCUUCCAGGAAGGAAUUGGUUGCUUUCCUCCAUUUGGGAUCGGGAAGUCUCUAGGAUCGAUUUGUUGCUAUGCGACAGGUUUUGAAGGAUGACCGUUUUUUUUGGAAUCAAAUCUGGAUUCGAAUUUCACUAAGUAGCCACAAUAUAUGGAGUAUAAUCCCUAUUUAACUUCUGGGGUUAGGUGCCUUCUUGGGAAUGUGUACUUUGGUAGAUGAUACUGUGCUUCAAAUAACAAAGUAUAUACUACUCUAACAUGUAGAAGAUGCUUUAAAAGCGGUUGUGUCACUGAACCUCCUUGGUCCCACUGGGGAAGCCAGAUCUGGGCAUGUGGCCUGAAGACCUCCUGUGGUAGAACCAGAAGCUCAGACUUAGUUGCCACUGCUGGGAUGGCCUGGGCAGGACAAGCUGUGAGCCUGGGAGAAAGGGAAAGGAUCCUGACUCCCACAGCAUUUGGCAAAGACCUGGGUAAAUAAGGUAAAACUUGUAAGCCACCUCCGCUCUUCAAGAUUCUGAAAUGUGUCUCAGGACCAAGCACAUGAGCUAUUGACUUUUUUAAAAAGUAAGAUUAGGUAUGGAUUUAUUACCUGAUUGCUUGCCAUUGUCAAAAUGCUCAGAACUCUCCCCACCCAUUAGAGGGUUUUUGGGGGUCAGGAAGUACUUCUUUAAUGGUGGCCUUCUAACCACCUAUCUUAUAGAGUCCCUGGGGUGAUGGUUAUAUGAAGCUUCCGGGGCCUCACCCCUAGACCUAAUGAAUCAGAAGGUCUAGGAAUGUAGCCCUGGGAGUUUGCUUUUAAUUACAGCAUCCCAGGUAAUUUUCAU
This is a long non-coding RNA of Acinonyx jubatus (cheetah), 1470 nucleotides long. RefSeq lists it as uncharacterized. The transcript is spliced from 3 exons. NCBI's taxonomy places the organism in Eukaryota, Metazoa, Chordata, Mammalia, Carnivora, Felidae. The record is from RefSeq and is a predicted model, not a curated record.